AGUUUGAUCAUGGCUCAGAUUGAACGCUGGCGGCAGGCCUAACACAUGCAAGUCGAACGGUAGCACAGAGGAGCUUGCUCCUUGGGUGACGAGUGGCGGACGGGUGAGUAAUGUCUGGGAAACUGCCCGAUGGAGGGGGAUAACUACUGGAAACGGUAGCUAAUACCGCAUAACGUCGCAAGACCAAAGAGGGGGACCUUCGGGCCUCUUGCCAUCGGAUGUGCCCAGAUGGGAUUAGCUAGUAGGUGGGGUAACGGCUCACCUAGGCGACGAUCCCUAGCUGGUCUGAGAGGAUGACCAGCCACACUGGAACUGAGACACGGUCCAGACUCCUACGGGAGGCAGCAGUGGGGAAUAUUGCACAAUGGGCGCAAGCCUGAUGCAGCCAUGCCGCGUGUAUGAAGAAGGCCUUCGGGUUGUAAAGUACUUUCAGCGAGGAGGAAGGNGUUGAGGUUAAUAACCUCANCAAUUGACGUUACUCGCAGAAGAAGCACCGGCUAACUCCGUGCCAGCAGCCGCGGUAAUACGGAGGGUGCAAGCGUUAAUCGGAAUUACUGGGCGUAAAGCGCACGCAGGCGGUCUGUCAAGUCGGAUGUGAAAUCCCCGGGCUCAACCUGGGAACUGCAUCCGAAACUGGCAGGCUAGAGUCUUGUAGAGGGGGGUAGAAUUCCAGGUGUAGCGGUGAAAUGCGUAGAGAUCUGGAGGAAUACCGGUGGCGAAGGCGGCCCCCUGGACAAAGACUGACGCUCAGGUGCGAAAGCGUGGGGAGCAAACAGGAUUAGAUACCCUGGUAGUCCACGCCGUAAACGAUGUCGACUUGGAGGUUGUGCCCUUGAGGCGUGGCUUCCGGAGCUAACGCGUUAAGUCGACCGCCUGGGGAGUACGGCCGCAAGGUUAAAACUCAAAUGAAUUGACGGGGGCCCGCACAAGCGGUGGAGCAUGUGGUUUAAUUCGAUGCAACGCGAAGAACCUUACCUACUCUUGACAUCCAGAGAACUUUCCAGAGAUGGAUUGGUGCCUUCGGGAACUCUGAGACAGGUGCUGCAUGGCUGUCGUCAGCUCGUGUUGUGAAAUGUUGGGUUAAGUCCCGCAACGAGCGCAACCCUUAUCCUUUGUUGCCAGCGGUUAGGCCGGGAACUCAAAGGAGACUGCCAGUGAUAAACUGGAGGAAGGUGGGGAUGACGUCAAGUCAUCAUGNCCCUUNCGAGUAGGGCUACACACGUGCUACAAUGGCAUAUACAAAGAGAAGCGACCUCGCGAGAGCAAGCGGACCUCAUAAAGUAUGUCGUAGUCCGGAUUGGAGUCUGCAACUCGACUCCAUGAAGUCGGAAUCGCUAGUAAUCGUGGAUCAGAAUGCCACGGUGAAUACGUUCCCGGGCCUUGUACACACCGCCCGUCACACCAUGGGAGUGGGUUGCAAAAGAAGUAGGUAGCUUAACCUUCGGGAGGGCGCUUACCACUUUGUGAUUCAUGACUGGGGNG
Molecule: ribosomal RNA, 1482 nt
Filed under: Citrobacter sp. F3-7
Lineage: Bacteria; Pseudomonadati; Pseudomonadota; Gammaproteobacteria; Enterobacterales; Enterobacteriaceae
Description: bacterial SSU rRNA
Rfam family: Bacterial small subunit ribosomal RNA
Source: RNAcentral